This 448-nucleotide long non-coding RNA is filed under the name Glycine max (soybean). RNAcentral describes it as "long non-coding RNA (GMAX_LNC004089)". Lineage: Eukaryota; Viridiplantae; Streptophyta; Magnoliopsida; Fabales; Fabaceae. The record is from RNAcentral.
CAGUGACAUAAACAUUAAUGGCCUGAGAUGACGUAACCAAUGAAUCAAGAGGAAUAAAAAAAAAAAGUCACACUCUAAAAUCACGCUACACCUGUAAUCGAAAGGAUUAUUAUGAUAAACACAGACCUCACAGUAUGACAGCUAACAGUAAGAGAGAGAGAUCAAGGAAAAAUAAUAAGUUAAAAGAGAACAUAACAGGAAUUCUUCCAAGCCCAGAUGGAGAUGGUGUUGUUGUUAACAUAUUUUUUUCAAGAAGCACUUAUGCAGCUUUUCAAAAAUUUGUUCUACGAGGAUUUGUAUGUAUCCUUAUUAUAGCACAUAUGGAGCUAUAUAUGAAAUAUUCAGUUAGCUACUAUAUCAUGGUUUAAAAUUGUGGUUGCAAUCACGAUCGUGAUGAGUCAAAAUUUUUUAAUACGGAUAAUUACGGGAAAACGCAAUUGAUGCAAUC